This 520-nucleotide ribosomal RNA is filed under the name uncultured Glomus. Its description in RNAcentral is "SSU rRNA". It matches the Rfam family "Eukaryotic small subunit ribosomal RNA", at positions 569 to 1091 of the family's 1831-position model. The record is from RNAcentral. Lineage: Eukaryota; Fungi; Glomeromycota; Glomeromycetes; Glomerales; Glomeraceae.
AGCAGCCGCGGUAAUUCCAGCUCCAAUAGCGUAUAUUAAAGUUGUUGCAGUUAAAAAGCUCGUAGUUGAAUUUCGGGGUUAGUAGGUUGGUCAUGCCUCUGGUAUGUACUGGUCUCACUGAUUCCUCCUUCCUUAUGAACCGUAAUGCCAUUAAUUUGGUGUUGCGGGGAAUUUGGACUGUUACUUUGAAAAAAUUAGAGUGUUUAAAGCAAGCUAACGCUUGAAUACAUUAGCAUGGAAUAAUGAAAUAGGACGUUCGAUCUUAUUUUGUUGGUUUCUAGGAUUGACGUAAUGAUUAAUAGGGAUAGUUGGGGGCAUUAGUAUUCAAUUGUCAGAGGUGAAAUUCUUGGAUUUAUUGAAGACUAACUACUGCGAAAGCAUUUGCCAAGGAUGUUUUCAUUAAUCAAGAACGAAAGUUAGGGGAUCGAAGACGAUCAGAUACCGUCGUAGUCUUAACCAUAAACUAUGCCGACUAGGGAUCGGAUGAUGUUAAUUUUUAAUGACUCAUUCGGCGCCUUAC